GAAUCAGCAAAUAAUACCUCCUAGUCCUUGUCUUCAGCGGGCUUUUGCAUGCUGAAGGUGCGCCUGUGGAUGUUGCUGUGGUUGAGCCGGGGUUGCUGAGCACUUCUGAAAAGCAUCUGCACUGAAACAUUCUGGAUUUCAUUGGGCAUGGUGUCUGGUGAUGACUGAAAUCUGCUGCUGAAGCAAAUUCUAGAGGAGGUUUCAGAGCUGUGACUAUGGCUUCUUUGCACAUAAAUGUUAUUGUGUGUUUGUUUGAACAUGGUAGGAUAUUUAAUGUAUUAUAGAAAUACAUUUUCUACAUCCAGACUCAGUGUCAGUAUCACCAUAGAACUUUUCUUCCCAACGUAUUUCCUUCAUUUGAGCCUUAAAAAUUAAACAAAAAACCCACAACAAAUCAAAACAAACAAACAAAAAAAGCACACCCCCAGACCUUGAGAAAAUGUAAUUUCCUGUGAAACAUGUACCCUACUGUCAUCUUCUGGGGGAAGAGAACAUUAUUGUAUCCACUGUUGUUGUAAGUGAAAUAUGGUGUACAGCAUGCUAAAUAACUGCUAAGUCAAAUGUCAGUGUGAACCCAGAAAUCCUCACUAGAGGAAAAAAUAAAUAUUUUUAUUUUCUCUAAAAGCUUCCCUGUAAAAUUCUUCUAAGGAUGUUCUUCAUGAGACAACACAAAACAAACAGAUGGGCACCCCCUCUUCAUUUCUCAGCCCGGUGACAGGACUGUUGGGACUUUUGGCCAAGUGCUCUGAAAAUAUUCUGAGUCUAUAAAAAAUGAAGCCCACCUUGUUAACGAAGGGUAUGCCUCAUCUGUGUUGAGCAGGAAACUUGGAUAUUAGAUGUUUCUAUUUAAGGUCACACUCUUAUCCCUGUAUUGUUACUUCCGAAGAAGCUGCGAAGACAACUGAUACGAACCUUCACUGCUCACAAGGCCAGGGCAAAGAGUUGGACAAAGCUGUUUAGUUAAAGUAGUUCCUUGUUUUAUUUCCUUUCCUUUCAUAUGCAAUGACAUCUUGCCUUUUGAAGUACAUGCCAUUUUUUCUACAUUAUAUUACCUACGCUUCAGCAUUUUCAUUCUGAUUUGUAUAAUUAUUUUUUUCUUCUACAACACUCUUGAUUUUCAAGUAUAUUUCCGUAUAUUUCCUUUUUUUUUUUUUUUCCUAGCCUUUCAAAUGGGUUGUUUGGCCUCUGUAUACAUAAUUUUCUUGAUUUGUAUUGAAGAUUGUAGAAGAAAGCUGAUAACCUCAGCAUAGUAUUUGCAGUACAGUGCGUCAUCAUGUAACCAGACUAAAUAACAAGGCAUUAUUCACAAGGAGGUGAGGUUAUAUUUGCUGCUG
This is a long non-coding RNA of Cygnus atratus (black swan), 1334 nucleotides long. RefSeq lists it as uncharacterized. The record is from RefSeq and is a predicted model, not a curated record. The transcript has 3 exons. Lineage: Eukaryota; Metazoa; Chordata; Aves; Anseriformes; Anatidae.